Molecule: ribosomal RNA, 301 nt
Filed under: uncultured bacterium
Lineage: Bacteria
Description: partial 16S ribosomal RNA
Rfam family: Bacterial small subunit ribosomal RNA
Source: RNAcentral
CAGUAGCCGCGGUAAUACGUAGGUGGCGAGCGUUGUCCGGAAUUAUUGGGCGUAAAGGGAGCGCAGGCGGACAUAUAAGUCCAUCUUAAAAGUGCGGGGCUCAACCCCGUGAGGGGAUGGAAACUGUAUGCCUUGAGUGCAGGAGAGGAAAGCGGAAUUCCCAGUGUAGCGGUGAAAUGCGUAGAUAUUAGGAAGAACACCAGUGGCGAAGGCGACUUUCUGGACGAAAACUGACGCUGAGGCGCGAAAGCCAGGGAAGCGAACGGGAUUAGAUACCCGUGUAGUCCCUGUCUCUUAUACA